UGGGGAAUAUUGGACAAUGGGCGCAAGCCUGAUCCAGCCAUGCCGCGUGAGUGAUGAAGGCCUUAGGGUUGUAAAGCUCUUUCGCCGACGAAGAUAAUGACGGUAGUCGGAGAAGAAGCCCCGGCUAACUUCGUGCCAGCAGCCGCGGUAAUACGAAGGGGGCUAGCGUUGUUCGGAAUCACUGGGCGUAAAGCGCACGUAGGCGGAUUGUUAAGUCAGGGGUGAAAGCCUGGAGCUCAACUCCAGAACUGCCCUUGAUACUGGCAAUCUCGAGUCCGGAAGAGGUAAGUGGAACUGCGAGUGUAGAGGUGAAAUUCGUAGAUAUUCGCAAGAACACCAGUGGCGAAGGCGGCUUACUGGUCCGGUACUGACGCUGAGGUGCGAAAGCGUGGGGAGCAAAACAGGAUUAGAUACCCUGGUAGUCCACGCCGUAAACGAUGGAGGCUAGCCGUUGGCGAGCAUGCUCGUCAGUGGCGCAGCUAACGCAUUAAGCCUCCCGCCUGGGGAGUACGGUCGCAAGAUUAAAAAGCUUAAAUGAAUUGACGGGGUCAUAGCUGUUUCCUG
This 564-nucleotide ribosomal RNA is filed under the name uncultured bacterium. Its description in RNAcentral is "partial 16S ribosomal RNA". It matches the Rfam family "Bacterial small subunit ribosomal RNA", at positions 355 to 1376 of the family's 1533-position model. The record is from RNAcentral.